GGAGGGUGCAAGCGUUAUCCGGAUUCACUGGGUUUAAAGGGUGCGUAGGUGGGCUAGUAAGUCCGUGGUGAAAUCUCCAAGCUUAACUUGGAAACUGCCGUGGAUACUAUUAGUCUUGAAUAUUGUGGAGGUAAGCGGAAUAUGUCAUGUAGCGGUGAAAUGCUUAGAUAUGACAUAGAACACCGAUAGCGAAGGCAGCUUGCUACACAAUUAUUGACACUGAGGCACGAAAGCGUGGGGAUCAAACAGGAUUAGAUACCCUGGUAGUCCACGCCCUAAACGAUGAUUACUCGACAUACGCGAUACACAGUGUGUGUCUGAGCGAAAGCAUUAAGUAAUCCACCUGGGAAGUACGAUCGCAAGAUUG
RNAcentral lists this ribosomal RNA (367 nucleotides) under uncultured bacterium. RNAcentral's name for it is "bacterial SSU rRNA". It matches the Rfam family "Bacterial small subunit ribosomal RNA", at positions 527 to 896 of the family's 1533-position model. The record is from RNAcentral.